UACAGGGGGUGCAAACGUUGCUCGGAAUCAUUGGGCGUAAAGCGCACGUAGGCGGUUUGUUAUGUCGGAUGUGAAAGCCCUUGGCUCAACCUGGGAACUGCAUCUGUGACUGCAUUGCUGGAGUGCGGCAGAGGGGGAUGGAAUUCCGCGUGUAGCAGUGAAAUGCGCAGAUAUCAGGAAGAACACCCGUGGCGAAGGCGGCUCUCUGGGACGGUACUGACGCUGAGACGCGAAAGCGUGGGGAGCGAACAGG
This 253-nucleotide ribosomal RNA is filed under the name uncultured bacterium. RNAcentral's name for it is "partial 16S ribosomal RNA". It matches the Rfam family "Bacterial small subunit ribosomal RNA", at positions 524 to 776 of the family's 1533-position model. The record is from RNAcentral.